CCUUCACAAUGUGCGAAAGCGCGAUGAGGGGAUCCCAAGUGCUUGCACUUAAGUGUAAGCUGUUUCUUUGUUUAAAAUGCAGAGAGAGGAAGGGCUGGGUAAGACGGGUGCCAGCCGCCGCGGUAAUACCUGCAGCUCAAGUGGUGACCGUUAUUAUUGGGCCUAAAACGUUCGUAGCCGGCUGAGUAAAUGCUUGGGUAAAUCGUGCCGCUUAACGGUACGAAUUCCGGGUAGACUGCUCAGCUUGAGACCGGGAGAAGCUAGAGGUACUCCUGGGGUAGAGGUGAAAUUCUGUAAUCCUGGGGGGACCACCAGUGGCGAAGGCGUCUAGCUAGAACGGGUCUGACGGUGAGGGACGAAACCCUGGGGCGCAAACCGGAUUAGAUACCCGGG
RNAcentral lists this ribosomal RNA (393 nucleotides) under uncultured archaeon. RNAcentral's name for it is "bacterial SSU rRNA". It matches the Rfam family "Archaeal small subunit ribosomal RNA", at positions 347 to 741 of the family's 1478-position model. The record is from RNAcentral.